Molecule: ribosomal RNA, 490 nt
Filed under: uncultured bacterium
Lineage: Bacteria
Description: partial 16S ribosomal RNA
Rfam family: Bacterial small subunit ribosomal RNA
Source: RNAcentral
AUUGAACGCUGGCGGCAGGCUUAACACAUGCAAGUCGAGCGGUAGCACAGGGGAGCUUGCUCCCUGGGUGACGAGCGGCGGACGGGUGAGUAAUGUCUGGGAAACUGCCUGAUGGAGGGGGAUAACUACUGGAAACGGUAGCUAAUACCGCAUAACGUCGCAAGACCAAAGAGGGGGACCUUCGGGCCUCUUGCCAUCAGAUGUGCCCAGAUGGGAUUAGCUAGUAGGUGGGGUAAUGGCUCACCUAGGCGACGAUCCCUAGCUGGUCUGAGAGGAUGACCAGCCACACUGGAACUGAGACACGGUCCAGACUCCUACGGGAGGCAGCAGUGGGGAAUAUUGCACAAAGGGCGCAAGCCUGAUGCAGCCAUGCCGCGUGUGUGAAGAAGGCCUUCGGGUUGUAAAGCACUUUCAGCGAGGAGGAAGGUGGCGAGCUUAAUACGUUCAUCAAUUGACGUUACUCGCAGAAGAAGCACCGGCUAACUCCGUG